UACGGGGGGAGCAAGCGUUGUUCGGAAUUACUGGGCGUAAAGCGCGCGCAGGCGGUUUUUUAAGUCAGAGGUGAAAGCCCAGAGCUCAACUCUGGAAUGGCCUUUGAGACUAGAGAACUAGGGUACGGGAGAGGUGAGUGGAAUUCCGAGUGUAGAGGUGAAAUUCGUAGAUAUUCGGAAGAACACCAGUGGCGAAGGCGGCUCACUGGCCCGUUACCGACGCUCAGGCGCGACAGCGUGGGGAGCAAACAGG
This 253-nucleotide ribosomal RNA is filed under the name uncultured bacterium. Its description in RNAcentral is "partial 16S ribosomal RNA". It matches the Rfam family "Bacterial small subunit ribosomal RNA", at positions 524 to 776 of the family's 1533-position model. The record is from RNAcentral.